RNAcentral lists this non-coding RNA (115 nucleotides) under Cellulomonas sp. RNAcentral describes it as "SAM-IV sequence". It matches the Rfam family "SAM (S-adenosyl methionine) riboswitch aptamer". Rfam says of the family: SAM-IV is a mRNA element that regulates gene expression via direct sensing of S-adenosylmethionine (SAM or AdoMet). SAM-IV riboswitches share conserved nucleotide positions with the previously described SAM-I riboswitches sequence analysis and molecular recognition experiments suggest that SAM-I and SAM-IV riboswitches share similar ligand binding sites, but have different scaffolds. The record is from RNAcentral. Lineage: Bacteria; Bacillati; Actinomycetota; Actinomycetes; Micrococcales; Cellulomonadaceae. RNAcentral also lists the same sequence under 1 other name.
GGUCAAGAGUGUCAGCGCGAAGCCCCGGCUCGCUGGCCGGCAACCCUCCAACCGCGGUGGGGUGCCCCGGGUGACGACCUGGUCGCGCGCCGUCCGGCGCCGGCAAGCGCGGGAC